UGGAGAGUUUGAUCCUGGCUCAGGACGAACGCUGGCGGCGUGCUUAACACAUGCAAGUCGAACGGAAAGGCCCCUUCGGGGGUACUCGAGUGGCGAACGGGUGAGUAACACGUGGGUGAUCUACCCUGCACUUCGGGAUAAGCCUGGGAAACUGGGUCUAAUACCGGAUAGGACCAUGAGAUGCAUGUCUUAUGGUGGAAAGCUCUUGCGGUGUGGGAUGGGCCCGCGGCCUAUCAGCUUGUUGGUGGGGUGACGGCCUACCAAGGCGACGACGGGUAGCCGGCCUGAGAGGGUGUCCGGCCACACUGGGACUGAGAUACGGCCCAGACUCCUACGGGAGGCAGCAGUGGGGAAUAUUGCACAAUGGGCGCAAGCCUGAUGCAGCGACGCCGCGUGGGGGAUGACGGCCUUCGGGUUGUAAACCUCUUUCAGCAGGGACGAAGCGCAAGUGACGGUACCUGCAGAAGAAGCACCGGCCAACUACGUGCCAGCAGCCGCGGUA
RNAcentral lists this ribosomal RNA (502 nucleotides) under Mycobacterium sp. N508. RNAcentral describes it as "bacterial SSU rRNA". It matches the Rfam family "Bacterial small subunit ribosomal RNA", at positions 1 to 522 of the family's 1533-position model. The record is from RNAcentral. Lineage: Bacteria; Bacillati; Actinomycetota; Actinomycetes; Mycobacteriales; Mycobacteriaceae.